This 253-nucleotide ribosomal RNA is filed under the name uncultured bacterium. RNAcentral describes it as "partial 16S ribosomal RNA". It matches the Rfam family "Bacterial small subunit ribosomal RNA", at positions 524 to 776 of the family's 1533-position model. The record is from RNAcentral.
UACGUAGGGGGCAAGCGUUGUCCGGAUUUAUUGGGCGUAAAGAGCGUGUAGGCGGCCAGGUAGGUCCGUUGUGAAAACUGGAGGCUUAACCUCCAGCUGUCGAUGGAAACCAUCUGGCUAGAGUCCGGAAGAGGAGAGUGGAAUUCCUGGUGUAGCGGUGAAAUGCGCAGAUAUCAGGAAGAACACCCGUGGCUAAGGCGGCUCUCUAGUACGGUACUGACGCUGAGACGCGAAAGCGUGGGGAGCAAACGGG